Small nuclear RNA from Rattus norvegicus (Norway rat), 107 nucleotides. Ensembl annotates it as U2 spliceosomal RNA like 2. Its record names the gene U2l2. NCBI's taxonomy places the organism in Eukaryota, Metazoa, Chordata, Mammalia, Rodentia, Muridae. The record is from Ensembl.
AUUGCUUCUCGGCCUUUUGGCUAAGAUCAAGUGUAGUACAUUGUCACAUUCAUUGACCAUUUCCCCCAAUUAUACUUAUGAAUGAUUGUUUGUGUUCUACAAUCUCU